UUGAUGAUUGAUUAUGACUGAAAAAUUGUGUAUUUUGAUUGAGUAUCAUUGGUUGAAUUUUAGUUGAUUUGAUCCGUGGUUUGCAAUUAAGUUUUAAAUGUUAUUCAAAAAGAUUUUGUCUCUUGAACAGUUUAAGGAGACGACUCAUGUAAAUGAGGAAUCGACUCAUGGUAAUGGACGACUCUUAAGUUAAAAGAGUUGACCCCUAACUUACAAGAGACGACUCUUAAGUUAAAAGAGUCGACUCUUAGUUCAUCGGAGAUGACUCAUGAGUUAGAUAAGUCGACUAAAGAGGAAACUAUUCGAAACGGAUUCUAAAAGGCUUUCUCUCUCUCUCUCUCUGAAAUGUUGAACCUGAAACGUUUCAUAACCCUUAGAGUGCCUCUUUUGUCUUCAAACUCUUCUUCGAACCAGAAACUCCCAAAAACCCUAGAAAAUCCUUCCGAGGUUCUGAUUGAUCUUCCAAUGGUGAGAAUCAAGCAAGCAAUAUCUGGACCAAAGAGAAAGAAUACCACUCCACACACAGAGAGGAGAACAAAGGCUAGGGCAGAGAAUCCACAGAAGGAAGUAACACCACCGCCUCAA
This 585-nucleotide long non-coding RNA is filed under the name Phoenix dactylifera (date palm). Its description in RNAcentral is "long non-coding RNA (PDAC_LNC009396)". Lineage: Eukaryota; Viridiplantae; Streptophyta; Magnoliopsida; Arecales; Arecaceae. The record is from RNAcentral.